Molecule: non-coding RNA, 96 nt
Organism: Schizophyllum commune H4-8
Lineage: Eukaryota; Fungi; Basidiomycota; Agaricomycetes; Agaricales; Schizophyllaceae
Source: the annotation of a RefSeq genome assembly
GCAUUAAUGGGGUAGUGGUAACCUGGGUCGUUGCCAUUUGCGCUUGCUUCGUGUUUGACGCUCGACCCGCCGGGGGUUCGAUUCCCCCUUAAUGCA